UAGAGUGUAGCUCAGUGGUAGAGUGCAUGCUUAGCAUGUAUGAGGUCUUGGGUUCAACCUCAGCAUUUCAC
Molecule: transfer RNA, 71 nt
Filed under: Cavia porcellus (domestic guinea pig)
Lineage: Eukaryota; Metazoa; Chordata; Mammalia; Rodentia; Caviidae
Rfam family: tRNA
About the family: Transfer RNA (tRNA) molecules are approximately 80 nucleotides in length. Their secondary structure includes four short double-helical elements and three loops (D, anti-codon, and T loops). Further hydrogen bonds mediate the characteristic L-shaped molecular structure. tRNAs have two regions of fundamental functional importance: the anti-codon, which is responsible for specific mRNA codon recognition, and the 3' end, to which the tRNAs corresponding amino acid is attached (by aminoacyl-tRNA synthetases). tRNAs cope with the degeneracy of the genetic code in two manners: having more than one tRNA (with a specific anti-codon) for a particular amino acid; and 'wobble' base-pairing, i.e. permitting non-standard base-pairing at the 3rd anti-codon position.
Source: Rfam by way of RNAcentral